AAAAAUAAGUAUUUUGGAAGAAUGUCACACUGGGACCCAAGUAUAACAUUUUGUCAAGGAUGUCUGUUCUGUAAGUCAAGGGAAUUUUCUGAAUGAAUAUUCAACUGAAAAUAUUUAAAUAGAAAAGAAGAUGAGUAUGCUGUGUGUGUAUGUACGAGGAGAUGCAGCAAGCAGAAACAAUUAUAAUCUAGGAUGUACAACAUUAGCAAGCCACGUAUGCAUCCAAAGAGGCAAGGAUAAAGAGAAUCUUUUUUUGGAAAAAGGAGAGGUCCAUGUAAGCUGCUUGGAAACAGAGUUCAUUGGUUCUGGAGGCUCAAAGCCAGAGUUGGCAUCAUUUCAUUGGUGAAGAUAUCAUCACUGAAGUGACACGAAGUAACAAGUAAAGAACAAUAUGAGAAGAGAGACCACUGAAGAAUGAAAAAACUUUGUAUUUUAUCUUUUUAACAGCACAUUUUUUUCAUGCUAUUUGAACAAGGGGCUGCACAUGAUAAUUUUGCCCUGGGCCCUGCAAUUUGGACUACUAGCCCUGAUUUGGGGGGACAUUUUUGUAAACUUAACAGUCUAUUUCCAUAGGCCUUAUAAAUUCUGUGAAGUACCUAAAAUUCCUUUAUUAAUCCCUUUCAUUUAAAAAUAAAUAGAGUGACAUCACUUGUUUUGGCAGCUAAGAACUCUCAUUGCAUAUAUAAAGUAAAAUACAAAUCUGGUAUAUAAAUAUCUAUUUUAAACUGUAUGAGUAUGAGAGAAUUUUGGAAAAAAUGAUAUAAAAUGUUCAGUGUUGGUGUUAUAUAAAAUGAAAGGAUCAUAUUUUAGUUACUAAUUAAAUUGGUUUUUAUUUUUUCACCCCUCAUUAUAGCACUUUAACAUCAAUAUAACUUCAGCUAAACAUUCAAAAGAUCCACAAUUAUAAUUUUAACAACAUAUAAGUACAUUGCAAAUAUAAAUUUCUCUUACUGAAGGCUUCUAUAAAAGUGCUAAUUUCUAAAUCAAUUAUGUCAUCUUUCUCUCUUUUAAACUUCCCACUAUGGAAUGCAAAUAUUGAAUAAUGUUCUAUUAUUAAAAAUGUUAGCACAAUAGGUUCAUGAUGCUUUAUCAUUUGUUGCUUUUAAUAAUAUGAUGGCAUUAUCUUUAUGUAUAAAAAUUAAAAGGGAAAUUCUAAGAAAAUAAUUAACAUUUCAACUUUGACAAAACUAUGCAUUAUAUUUAUCUCAUUUUUCUGCAAAUCUUUAAAAGGCACUAUUCUCUGAUAACAUUUCUCCAGCGAUACCUAUAGAUUUGAGAGAAAAAAACUCACACAAAUUCUUUUUACAAAGCUAUUCUCAGAUAAUUAAUUAUAUUAUCUGGUACUAAUUGGUAGAGAUUGAAAGUAUUUAAUAGCAGAAUCUAACAAAUGACCAAAACGCAGACAAUUUGACUGGUCUCAUAUCUAUAUCUUGC
RNAcentral lists this long non-coding RNA (1434 nucleotides) under Homo sapiens (human). RNAcentral describes it as "HSALNT0081184". Lineage: Eukaryota; Metazoa; Chordata; Mammalia; Primates; Hominidae. The record is from RNAcentral.